Molecule: ribosomal RNA, 427 nt
Filed under: uncultured bacterium
Lineage: Bacteria
Description: partial 16S ribosomal RNA
Rfam family: Bacterial small subunit ribosomal RNA
Source: RNAcentral
UGGGGAAUAUUGGACAAUGGGCGAAAGCCUGAUCCAGCCAUGCCGCGUGUGUGAAGAAGGUCUUCGGAUUGUAAAGCACUUUAAGUUGGGAGGAAGGGCAUUAACCUAAUACGUUAGUGUUUUGACGUUACCGACAGAAUAAGCACCGGCUAACUCUGUGCCAGCAGCCGCGGUAAUACAGAGGGUGCAAGCGUUAAUCGGAAUUACUGGGCGUAAAGCGCGCGUAGGUGGUUUGUUAAGUUGGAUGUGAAAUCCCCGGGCUCAACCUGGGAACUGCAUUCAAAACUGACUGACUAGAGUAUGGUAGAGGGUGGUGGAAUUUCCUGUGUAGCGGUGAAAUGCGUAGAUAUAGGAAGGAACACCAGUGGCGAAGGCGACCACCUGGACUAAUACUGACACUGAGAGACGAAAGCUAGGGUAGCGAAUG